GCAAGCUUGGCCGAGUGGUCUAAGGCGCUGGGUUAGUCAUCAAGUCUCUUUCAAUUCUUAAAUUGAAUUCUACUAACAAUAUCACAGACUCAAGAGAAUUUCCUCUUUCACUGUUUCAGUGAAGCAUUCUAGUCUCGAAAGAGGCGUGGGUUCAAAUCCCACAGCUUGCA
RNAcentral lists this transfer RNA (170 nucleotides) under Penicillium nordicum. It matches the Rfam family "tRNA". Rfam says of the family: Transfer RNA (tRNA) molecules are approximately 80 nucleotides in length. The record is from Rfam by way of RNAcentral. Lineage: Eukaryota; Fungi; Ascomycota; Eurotiomycetes; Eurotiales; Aspergillaceae.